RNAcentral lists this ribosomal RNA (253 nucleotides) under uncultured bacterium. RNAcentral's name for it is "partial 16S ribosomal RNA". It matches the Rfam family "Bacterial small subunit ribosomal RNA", at positions 524 to 776 of the family's 1533-position model. The record is from RNAcentral.
UACGUAGGUGGCGAGCGUUAUCCGGAUUUACUGGGUGUAAAGGGUGUGUAGGCGGGACUGCAAGUCAGAUGUGAAAAUCACGGGCUUAACCUGUGACCUGCAUUUGAAACUGUGGUUCUUGAGGGUCGGAGAGGUAACUGGAAUUCCUGGUGUAGCGGUGAAAUGCGUAGAUAUCAGGAGGAACACCGGUGGCGAAGGCGGGUUACUGGACGAUUACUGACGCUGAGACACGAAAGCGUGGGGAGCAAACAGG